Long non-coding RNA from Haplochromis burtoni (Burton's mouthbrooder), 778 nucleotides. RefSeq lists it as uncharacterized. The record is from RefSeq and is a predicted model, not a curated record. The transcript is spliced from 3 exons. Lineage: Eukaryota; Metazoa; Chordata; Actinopteri; Cichliformes; Cichlidae.
CAGGAAUAACUGACUUUGGUUCACAUAAUGUGAAUGAAAGCAAAUGUCUCUGAUUAUGUGCGUCUGUAUUUUCUUCUUCAUAUAACAUUUCACCAGCUGACUGUGUAAACAUGGCAGCCAUCUUUAGCCUUUUUCCAUAUUUUAAACUAGAAAAUGCUUUUGAAUUUGAGUCCCUCAAACUUUCAGGUGUUUAACUUUACUGUGUACUUUACAUUUAAAUAUUACAUAAUAAAUAAUUUAAACAGAAAACUGCAAAGAAGUCAUGUGAAUAAUUAGACGUUUUGAUUCACUUUUUUCAGAUUUUGUAUCUUUGAGGUUCAUAAUUGUCUCUGUGGGAUUGGCAGCACUUUUAAUAACAGCUGUGACAGUCAACAUGUGGACAAAAACUAAAGGGAAGAAAACACAGAUGGAUGAAAACACAGUACAUUAUGAUAGAGAUGAAGAUGUUCCAGUCAACUAUGAAAAUGUGGGAGACUCUGCUGUUUCUAUCAGACUGCACUGAUCAAUAACUUGCUGUUAUGUUAUCAGUAUCAUCUCAUCUGGAUUUACAUGUUAAAUAUCUUAUAUAUGAUUUGUCCGUGUGUGUGUGUGUGUGUGUGUGUGUGUGUGUGUGUGUGUGUGUGUACUUUUGUUUUAGUCUGAUUAAAGAUGUUUUUAAUGUCCAAAUUGUGUUGUACUUUCUCCAGUGUGCGCUUUAUAACGUGUCUUUAAUGAUCUUUAGAAUCUGUAUAAAUAUUCUGUUUUGUUUAUGAUAAUUUGAUCUCAAUAUUAAAACAAA